This 425-nucleotide ribosomal RNA is filed under the name uncultured bacterium. RNAcentral's name for it is "partial 16S ribosomal RNA". It matches the Rfam family "Bacterial small subunit ribosomal RNA", at positions 354 to 796 of the family's 1533-position model. The record is from RNAcentral.
GUGGGGAAUCUUGCGCAAUGGGCGAAAGCCUGACGCAGCCAUGCCGCGUGAAUGAUGAAGGUCUUAGGAUUGUAAAAUUCUUUCACCGGGGACGAUAAUGACGGUACCCGGAGAAGAAGCCCCGGCUAACUUCGUGCCAGCAGCCGCGGUAAUACGAAGGGGGCUAGCGUUGCUCGGAAUUACUGGGCGUAAAGGGCGCGUAGGCGGACAGUUUAGUCAGAGGUGAAACCCCAGGGCUCAACCUUGGAAUUGCCUUUGAUACUGGCUGUCUUGAGUUUGGGAGAGGUGAGUGGAACUCCGAGUGUAGAGGUGAAAUUCGUAGAGAUUCGGAAGAACACCAGUGGCGAAGGCGACUCACUGGCCCAAUACUGACGCUGAGGCGCGAAAGCGUGGGGAGCAAACAGGAUUAGAUACCCGGGUAGUCC